This is a long non-coding RNA of Acinonyx jubatus (cheetah), 1092 nucleotides long. RefSeq lists it as uncharacterized. The record is from RefSeq and is a predicted model, not a curated record. The transcript is spliced from 2 exons. Lineage: Eukaryota; Metazoa; Chordata; Mammalia; Carnivora; Felidae.
CAGAGCUAUUAAUAAAAAAGAAACCAAGUUUCCAGAACAGUCCUUCCUACUGAGAGGCUACUUCUUGUAGAAUUGGCCCCAUGCCUGCAAGGACAAAAUAAUUUAAGCUUGGAAUUUACUGUGUGAUAUGAGCAAAAGACUUCUAUCUGCUCGAUUCUUAGUACAAGGUGUAACCAAAGGAUGUGAUUAAAAAAGAGCUUGACUGAAAAAAAUUCUGAAAUGUUUUAAUUCAUAUCGUACAUACUUUUAAAAAAGGCGGAAACAUUUAGGGUAACACCACUGAUGUGUAAGAAUCUUGAGCCACAGGACCUUGAAAAUCAGUCUGAAAAUGUUUUGCUUUCACAUUGUCUUUUUCAUGGCUGCUUGUGUCAUGCUGAAGAGAUAAGCUUCGUAGAUUAUAUUCAAGAAGUUGUCAUCGUUCUGGAAAACAAAAUCAAAAGACCCAAGGGAAUGUGAUUUGGCUGGCAGGAACCAAAGGCUUCCUCUGUCUUGGAGCUAAACUGGCAUUCUGACACUCAGACGCUCCUCUCUGCCUGUCUGCUCCAACGGCUGGUGGUUUUUCACUGCACACGAGAGUGUUAAGUGGGACUGGAGGCCUGACCGAGUCAGCUGCUGGUGUCCAACAGUCAUAUGAGAAGUAGCAAGUGCUCAUUACCUACAGCAUGGAUGGGCAGCCCAGCCACAUGGCAGUAUGGGAUGAGGGUCACUCAAAAAAAGCCCGGGUCUGUUUCAGGAAAAGAUACAGGUCCUAACAGAAGGCUGGAAUGGGAGGCAAUGAUCCAGUGGCAACCAACAGGUCAGCAGGGAAAGGGAAGAAGAGAGACGACGUGACUCUCCUACCUGAAUGAGGUACAGCAGUGCUUCCUGAAGCUGGAGCUUGGUAAGUGGGCUGCUGGUGACUGCAGGGGGUUCUGGGGUCUGCAGAGGCAGGAGGAGGCUGGUGGAAGUGGCAGCUGGUUCUUGGCUUCCCAGAGGCAGGAGCCCACUGUCCCUCUCCUUUGGUGGGGCACAGGUGGGUUGUGUGAACACCAUAGGGGACAUGAGCAGAGAAGGAGCCACUGUAGCAAGGACGCGCGGAGGUGAGAUGGCCUG